RNAcentral lists this ribosomal RNA (271 nucleotides) under uncultured prokaryote. Its description in RNAcentral is "partial 16S ribosomal RNA". It matches the Rfam family "Bacterial small subunit ribosomal RNA", at positions 524 to 794 of the family's 1533-position model. The record is from RNAcentral.
UACGAAGGGUGCAAGCGUUACUCGGAAUUACUGGGCGUAAAGCGUGCGUAGGUGGUUCGUUAAGUCUGAUGUGAAAGCCCUGGGCUCAACCUGGGAAUUGCAUUGGAUACUGGCGGGCUGGAGUACGGUAGAGGGUGGCGGAAUUCCUGGUGUAGCAGUGAAAUGCGUAGAUAUCAGGAGGAACAUCCGUGGCGAAGGCGGCCACCUGGACCAGUACUGACACUGAGGCACGAAAGCGUGGGGAGCAAACAGGAUUAGAUACCCGCGUAGU